CAGAGUUGCAAAACUCCCAAACCCUUGUGAACAUACCCGUUACAGUUGCUUCGGUGGGCGGCCCCAGGGCGGGGCCGCAGCCUCUUCUCACGAGGCGCCCGCCGGAGGUAUAUAACUCUUUGUAUUAUGGUCUCUCUGAGUAAAUUUAUAAUAAGUCA
Molecule: unclassified non-coding RNA, 158 nt
Filed under: uncultured Spadicoides
Lineage: Eukaryota; Fungi; Ascomycota; Sordariomycetes; Sordariales; Helminthosphaeriaceae
Description: sequence contains ITS1
Source: RNAcentral